This 203-nucleotide unclassified non-coding RNA is filed under the name Hevea brasiliensis (rubber tree). Lineage: Eukaryota; Viridiplantae; Streptophyta; Magnoliopsida; Malpighiales; Euphorbiaceae. The record is from RNAcentral.
UUCGGAAAAGAUGGGACUGAGAUUACAAUGAGGGAUAUAACAAACGAUACUAAAGGGUCUCAGUUGGACCCAUCAGAGAGUACCUUUCUGGGCUUGGAUGAUAAUAGGUUAUGUCAAUGGGAUAUGAGAGAUAAGAAUAAGAGAGGGAUUGUGCAGAGUAUUGGUGGUGAAUCGCCAGUUUUGCAUUGGAGUCAGGGGCAUCA